AUGGUGAAGAUGGGAUCAUCUCCGGACCAAGUGACCUGUGUCACCGUCAUUUCCACUCUUGCGAGCUUGGGUAGGCUGGAUGAUGCUAGGACUUUGCUGAAGAGUAUGGCGGUGCCGAGCACGGUUGCUUGGAACGCUGUCAUCUCCAGUUAUGCGCAACAGAGUGGGAUGGACCAUGAGGUCUUUGGAUUUUAUAAGGAUAUGAAGAGGCAGGGAUUAUGGCCCAGUAGAUCGACCUUCGCCAGCAUGCUAAGCGUAGCAGCUAAUAUGGCGGCGCUUGUUGAAGGCCGACAGUUUCAUGCUUCGGCGGUAAGGCAUGGCUUGGAUGCAAAUGUUUUCGUGGGUAGCUCUCUGAUCAACCUUUAUGCGAAAUGCGGCUGCAUUGGUGAGGCAAGGGACGUGUUUGAUUUCUCCCGUGAGAAGAACAUUGUCAUGUGGAAUGCGAUGCUCAAUGGACUUGUUCGGAAUGAGCAACAAGAAGAGGCCAUCCAGAUGUUCUGGUAUAUGAUGAGGCUUGGUCUUGAGGCUGAUGAGUUCACGUUCGUCAGUGUUCUUGGUGCAUGUGCCCACUUGGAUUCACAUUGCUUGGGAAGGCAGGUGAAGUGUGUGACAAUCAAGAAUUGCAUUAAUGCAAGCUUGCUUGUUGCUAAUGCAACAUUAGAUAUGUAUUCCAAGUUUGGAGCUAUAGUUGAUGCAAAGACAACAUUCAGUCUGAUUCCUUACAAAGAUAGUGUAUCUUGGAAUGCCCUUAUAGUUGGACUUGCACAUAAUGGAGAAGAGGAAGAAGCAAUCGGUAUGCUCGGAUUGAUGAAUGCCGAUGGUAUAACACCAGAUGAGGUGUCUUUUGCUACUGUAGUUAAUGCAUGUUCCAAUAUUCGAGCUACUGAGACUGGAAAGCAAAUCCACUGCCUAGCAAUGAAGUAUAGUAUCUGCUCAAAUCAUGCUGUUGGUAGCUCUCUUAUUGAUUUAUAUUCAAAGCAUGGAGAUGUGGAAUCUUGUAGGAAGGUUUUGGCACAGGUAGAUGCAACUAGUAUAGUCCCAGUAAAUGCUCUGAUUGCAGGCCUUGUGCAGAACAAUAGAGAAGAUGAAGCUAUACAGUUGUUUCAGCAGGUUCUUAGAGAUGGUGUAAACCCCUCCAGCUUUACAUUUUCAAGCAUUCUGUCAGGUUGUACUGGACUUCUCAGUUCGAUUGUUGGCAAACAAGCCUGUUACACACUGAAGUCUGGUCUUCUGCAUAAUGAUUCUUCGCUUGGUGUUUCACUGAUCCGGAUAUAUUUGAAGUCGAAAAUGCCUGAGGAUGCCGACAAACUCUUGACAGAGAUGCCAGAUCACAAAAACCUGCUUGAGUGGACAGCUAUCAUUUCAGGGUAUGCUCAAAAUGGUCACAGUUCUGAUUCAUUGCUAACAUUUUGGAGAAUGCGCAGUUAUGAUGUUCACUCAGAUGAGGCGACAUUCGCUAGUAUUCUCAAAGCUUGUUCUGAGGUGACAGCUCUUAACGAUGGAAAAGAGAUGCACGGACUCAUCAUUAAAUCUGGAUUUAGUUCUUAUGAAACUUCAAUUAGUGCCCUCAUAGACAUGUACUCCAAGUGUGGGGAUAUCACUUCAUCCUUUGAAGCCUUCAAACAAUUUUAA
Molecule: ribosomal RNA, 1632 nt
Filed under: Triticum aestivum (bread wheat)
Lineage: Eukaryota; Viridiplantae; Streptophyta; Magnoliopsida; Poales; Poaceae
Description: partial small subunit ribosomal RNA
Source: RNAcentral